RNAcentral lists this unclassified non-coding RNA (248 nucleotides) under uncultured fungus. RNAcentral describes it as "sequence contains ITS2". The stretch from base 1 to 52 matches the Rfam family "5.8S ribosomal RNA", at positions 103 to 154 of the family's 154-position model. The record is from RNAcentral. Lineage: Eukaryota; Fungi.
AACGCACCUUGCACCCUCUGGUAUUCCGGAGGGUAUGCCUGUCUGAGUGUCAUGUAGACUCAACCUUCCGGGUUCUACCCGGCUGGUUGGAUUUGGGCGUUGCCUAUUGCUGGCUCGCCUUAAAAGCGUUAGUGGUGUGAUGGGUGGUUAGGCGUAAUACGUUUCGUCUUGUCAUCUUGAAGCAUUGCUCAUAACAACUAUACUGUAACUCUGGCCUCAGAUCAGGUAGGACUACCCGCUGAACUUAA